This 529-nucleotide ribosomal RNA is filed under the name uncultured bacterium. RNAcentral's name for it is "bacterial SSU rRNA". It matches the Rfam family "Bacterial small subunit ribosomal RNA", at positions 980 to 1509 of the family's 1533-position model. The record is from RNAcentral.
CUUGACAUCCAGCGAAUUCGGUAGAGAUACCUUAGUGCCUUCGGGAACGCUGAGACAGGUGCUGCAUGGCUGUCGUCAGCUCGUGUUGUGAAAUGUUGGGUUAAGUCCCGCAACGAGCGCAACCCUUAUCCUUUGUUGCCAGCGGUCCGGCCGGGAACUCAAAGGAGACUGCCAGUGAUAAACUGGAGGAAGGUGGGGAUGACGUCAAGUCAUCAUGGCCCUUACGAGUAGGGCUACGCACGUGCUACAAUGGCGCAUACAAAGAGAAGCGACCUCGCGAGAGCAAGCGGACCUCAUAAAGUGCGUCGUAGUCCGGAUUGGAGUCUGCAACUCGACUCCAUGAAGUCGGAAUCGCUAGUAAUCGUAGAUCAGAAUGCUACGGUGAAUACGUUCCCGGGCCUUGUACACACCGCCCGUCACACCAUGGGAGUGGGUUGCAAAAGAAGUAGGUAGCUUAACCUUCGGGAGGGCGCUUACCACUUUGUGAUUCAUGACUGGGGUGAAGUCGUAACAAGGUAAGCGUACGUGU